UACGUAGGAGGCAAGCGUUGUCCGGAAUCACUGGGCGUAAAGCGCGUGUAGGUGGAGCAGGAAGUCUGCUGUGAAAGCGCCUGGCUUAACCGGGCGAGGUCGGUGGAAACUGCGGGGCUUGAGUUCGGGAGAGGGAAGCGGAAUUCCGGGUGUAGCGGUGAAAUGCGUAGAUAUUGGGAAGAACACCGGUGGCGAAGGCGGCUCACUGGCUCAUUACUGACGCUCAGGCGCGAUAGCGUGGGGAUCAAACAGG
RNAcentral lists this ribosomal RNA (253 nucleotides) under uncultured bacterium. RNAcentral's name for it is "partial 16S ribosomal RNA". It matches the Rfam family "Bacterial small subunit ribosomal RNA", at positions 524 to 776 of the family's 1533-position model. The record is from RNAcentral.